RNAcentral lists this ribosomal RNA (253 nucleotides) under uncultured bacterium. RNAcentral's name for it is "partial 16S ribosomal RNA". It matches the Rfam family "Bacterial small subunit ribosomal RNA", at positions 524 to 776 of the family's 1533-position model. The record is from RNAcentral.
UACGUAGGGUGCAAGCGUUGUCCGGAAUUAUUGGGCGUAAAGAGCUCGUAGGCGGUCUGUCGCGUCGAAUGUGAAAACCCGAGGCUCAACUUCGGGCCUGCAUUCGAUACGGGCAGACUAGAGUUCGGUAGGGGAGUCUGGAAUUCCUGGUGUAGCGGUGAAAUGCGCAGAUAUCAGGAGGAACACCGGUGGCGAAGGCGGGACUCUGGGCCGAUACUGACGCUGAGGAGCGAAAGCGUGGGGAGCAAACAGG